Long non-coding RNA from Motacilla alba alba, 1021 nucleotides. RefSeq lists it as uncharacterized. The transcript has 3 exons. The record is from RefSeq and is a predicted model, not a curated record. NCBI's taxonomy places the organism in Eukaryota, Metazoa, Chordata, Aves, Passeriformes, Motacillidae.
AAAAGAUUAAGAAGUAAACGGGGUGAAAAAAAAAUCCUUCUAAUUUAUAGCGAGCAGAACAACGUUUAAAAAAUAAUACAACCCCAAAGAAAACCCCAAAUCCGUACAAAGAGGGGGGGUCAGGCAAGGUGACGCGGGAGAGAAAGCGGCGAGCGCGCCCCGCGCUGCCGGGGGUGCUGGGAGCGGGCUCUGCGCGUUUGGGGUGCUGUCACCACACAUGUCCGUCUGUCCGGCUGUGUGUCCGUGUGCGCGCCCCGAGCCGCACACAGCGGCUGCGGGGCUGGAGGGCUCCGUCCUGUGUGUGGAGCCUGAGCUAUGGAAAUGUGAGACCUCGAAAUAAAACAUGAGAAGAUGAAGGGGUUGGACAAAUUCAGCUGGAGGAGAGAGACUGAGCUGCUGUCUAAAAAGCAGCCAGCGGAGGCUAAUGAGACCUUUGGGGAAGGAAAACCUGCGAGUGGAAUCCAUUACAUCUGCAGCGGGGGACGACCUUCUUGUCCAGAAAAACAAACGUUGCGAAGAAUAGGGACGGACAGUGAUCUCCAAGGAAGAAACGGAAGGCGCUGGGAUGGUUUGGGAUGCCCGGAGCUGAGCCCCAGCCGCUGCGGCCCCAACCCAGAGCCCUGCAGCGGGUGGGGAGCAGCGCCGCUCCCACCGCCAAGCUCAGGCAGCAGAGAUGUGGUCUGAAAAAGGCUCUGGGGCAAGGAAAAAAUAAAUAUUGGAGAAGGAUGGAAAGUCGCCCUUAAGAUGACUAAACAGUUUGUGAUCAAGGGAAGAGAGCGGCUGGUGAAGCCGCUUUCAAAAUUAGGAUUAUCUUUAAACCUGGGAAUUAGGAGUGGCUGAACGUGGCUUCGCCUGCGGGGCAGGAGUUUGUGGGAAGCGAGGAAUAAAGUUUUAACCGCAGUACCUGGCCAACGGAAAUAAUCACGGGAAUGGUUAAAAAGACGCUGGGAAGUAUCAAACGGAAAAACAAACAAACAAAUAAAUAAACAAAAACAAAUCGCGAAACUUCCCGGAAAGCUCG